CCACCACUUAUUAGAUUGUUGGCCAGGAUUGGCACUGAAUCUUCACACUCACCUUCCUACACCCUCAUGCCCCAAACUUCCCACAGCUAAAUCUAGACUUUUUGGCAUUGAGUACAGGUCUGCAAUUACCCUUAUGGCUUCAAAGCUCAGCUUCACAGAGAAUUGACACAGUGACAUGAAAAUGAUUUAAUUGGCUCAUAAAACCUGGACCUGCCUACGAUGUAAACUGAGGCAACUUUAGGGAAGCCAGAGGAAGAUAUCUUGCUGUGAAAUGUGGUCUCCUGUCUGGGGAUAAGUAGAAGAUGCUGUAGAAGCAGAAGGUUCUGGCAUUGUCUGGAAAUGGUUCCUUCUGCCAUAUCAAGUGUGUGCAUAAAACAGAGCCCAGAAGAGCAGAGCUGCUAAAGAACUGUGUCUGCAUGCUUUCAUUGACAUUUGGUGACCUUUCUUUGUGCACCCAGCCUAACCUCUUAGGUUAUUUCC
RNAcentral lists this long non-coding RNA (480 nucleotides) under Mus spicilegus (steppe mouse). Its description in RNAcentral is "lncRNA (ENSMSIG00000023290.1)". Lineage: Eukaryota; Metazoa; Chordata; Mammalia; Rodentia; Muridae. The record is from RNAcentral.